Molecule: long non-coding RNA, 425 nt
Organism: Setaria italica (foxtail millet)
Lineage: Eukaryota; Viridiplantae; Streptophyta; Magnoliopsida; Poales; Poaceae
Exons: 3
Source: RefSeq, a predicted model, not a curated record
GCCUGCACGCGCGCGACUCGCCUGGCGCUGCGCCGCACCACCGGCCGCGCCGCCGGUUGCGUCGCCAGCCGCCUUCGCCAAGCACCGCCGCCGGAGCGCCGCCACGGACUGAAGACGUCGCCGCCGCCUGGAGGAAUUUGCGGCUCCUGCGUCCGCUGCUAGCCAUCAGGUGCAAAGCAUGGAGGUCCGAGCAACAAGAUGGUAGCCCUGGAAAGGAAGCCACGUACGUACGAAGCCAUCUGCCAUGCAAGGAUGAUAGCUACAGCAAUGCAAGACACGUUUGUGCAGAAGCAAACUAGCCAUGCAUCGAGUUCAUGCAUCUUUGCUCUUGCCAGCAGUGACAUCAUGGUGGCAUCAUGCAUAUGCGAAGGAUCGUUGUUCGAAAGCUUUGAAGAUUAAGAGUUUUAAGAGAGCAAGAGCCGAAG